GACGAACGCUGGCGGCGUGCUUAACACAUGCAAGUCGAACGGAAAGGCCUCUUUCGGGGGGUACUCGAGUGGCGAACGGGUGAGUAACACGUGAGUAACCUGCCCUUGACUUUGGGAUAACUUCAGGAAACUGGGGCUAAUACCGGAUAGGAGCUCCUGCUGCAUGGUGGGGGUUGGAAAGUUUCGGCGGUUGGGGAUGGACUCGCGGCUUAUCAGCUUGUUGGUGGGGUAGUGGCUUACCAAGGCUUUGACGGGUAGCCGGCCUGAGAGUGUGACCGGCCACAGUGGGACUGGGAUACGGCCCAGACUCCUACGGGAGGCAGCAGUGGGGAAUAUUGCACAAUGGGUGGAAGCCUGAUGCAGCAACGCCGUGUGCGGGAUGACGGCCUUCGGGUUGUAAACCGCUUUCGCUCAUGACGAAGCUUUGUGUGACGGUAGUGGGUAAAGAAGCACCGGCUAACUACGUG
This 467-nucleotide ribosomal RNA is filed under the name uncultured bacterium. RNAcentral's name for it is "partial 16S ribosomal RNA". It matches the Rfam family "Bacterial small subunit ribosomal RNA", at positions 28 to 507 of the family's 1533-position model. The record is from RNAcentral.